RNAcentral lists this long non-coding RNA (203 nucleotides) under Elaeis guineensis (African oil palm). RNAcentral describes it as "long non-coding RNA (EGUI_LNC044734)". The record is from RNAcentral. Lineage: Eukaryota; Viridiplantae; Streptophyta; Magnoliopsida; Arecales; Arecaceae.
CUCUGGCUCAAUCAUAGUGGAAGCUCUUUCUCUAUCAUUGUCUGCUUUAUCUCUUUCUACCCCUCUAUGAGUCCAAUGACUAUCCAUUUUGGUGUAUCCCAUUCUUCUCAAUGAACAGUCAUUGUAGAUAUCAAAGUGUUGCAACUUCUUAAAGGGUUCUCCUUCUAGGAUGACUCCAAACUCCUUGAAUAUGAGAGUUAGAA